RNAcentral lists this ribosomal RNA (537 nucleotides) under Cryptosporidium parvum. RNAcentral's name for it is "SSU rRNA". It matches the Rfam family "Eukaryotic small subunit ribosomal RNA", at positions 333 to 901 of the family's 1831-position model. The record is from RNAcentral. Lineage: Eukaryota; Apicomplexa; Conoidasida; Eucoccidiorida; Cryptosporidiidae.
GUAUUGGCCUACCGUGGCGAUGACGGGUAACGGGGAAUUAGGGUUCGAUUCCGGAGAGGGAGCCUGAGAAACGGCUACCACAUCUAAGGAAGGCAGCAGGCGCGCAAAUUACCCAAUCCUAAUACAGGGAGGUAGUGACAAGAAAUAACAAUACAGGACUUUUUGGUUUUGUAAUUGGAAUGAGUUAAGUAUAAACCCCUUUACAAGUAUCAAUUGGAGGGCAAGUCUGGUGCCAGCAGCCGCGGUAAUUCCAGCUCCAAUAGCGUAUAUUAAAGUUGUUGCAGUUAAAAAGCUCGUAGUUGGAUUUCUGUUAAUAAUUUAUAUAAAAUAUUUUGAAUAUUUAUAUAACAUUAACAUAAUUCAUAUUACUAUAUUUUUUAGUAUAUGAAAUUUUACUUUGAGAAAAUUAGAGUGCUUAAGGCAGGCAUAUGCCUUGAAUACUCCAGCAUGGAAUAAUAUUAAAGAUUUUUAUCUUUUUUAUUGGUUCUAAGAUAAGAAUAAUGAUUAAUAGGGACAGUUGGGGGCAUUUGUAUUUAA